UCACCGUGGCUCGAAAUGGAUCCCAACUGCUCCUGUGCCACUGGUAGCUCCUGGACUUGUGCCAGCUCCUGCAAGUGCAAAGAGUGCAAAUGCACCUCCUGCAAGAAGAGCUGCUGCUCCUGCUGCCCCGUGGGCUGUGCCAACUGUGCCCAGGGGCUGCGUCUGCAAAGGGGGGUUGGAGAAGUGCAGCUGCUGUGCCUGAUGUGGGGACAGUUCUGCUCCCAGAUGUAAAUAGACCAACCUGCACAAACCUGGAUUUUU
Sapajus apella (tufted capuchin) is the source of this 261-nucleotide RNA transcript. It is a transcript of the gene named metallothionein-1E pseudogene, with no coding region annotated. The transcript has a single exon. The record is from RefSeq and is a predicted model, not a curated record. NCBI's taxonomy places the organism in Eukaryota, Metazoa, Chordata, Mammalia, Primates, Cebidae.